UUUCAGAACACUUGUGAAGGUAAAGCUUGAGUUCGAGGUCAUUUACGUCCAAGGGCAGAUCAAACGCGAGUUAAAGAUGGAGUCUAAGAGUUGUUUUAAACAGGACGAUUAAAAUUCAUAAGAAGAAAAAAUAGUGAUCAAAAUGACUAACGCGGAAACGUUGAUCCGUAAAGGGAAGUCAGGGGCUGCAGCGUUUGUCCAGGCUGAGUGCAUGGCAAACAAGGCAGCAGGAACUAGUUCAGGACUUCCUUCGGCGGUAACUCAACCUCCGGCCCAUCUCCAGGCACUGCUAGACUACCUACUCCAUCCUUCUAACGCUAUAGGAGAUAGUGAGACGAUAGAUUGGUGUAGAUGGUUGGUUGGGGGAGGCCAGAAACCUGAGGAUUUCUCUACAAAAGUGCAAGAAUAUAACAACACUAAUAUGUGCGGGUUAGUGUGGACUGCUAACUUUGUUGCUUAUAGAUGCAGUACAUGUAGAAUAUCACAGUGUAUGUCUCUGUGCCGGGAUUGUUUCCACAGUGGGAAUCAUAUAGCUGAGGGGCAUGACUACAACAUGUUCAAGUCCCAGGCUGGAGGAGCUUGUGAUUGCGGUGAUGCAUCUGUGAUGAGAACAUCAGGGUUCUGCUCAAAGCAUGGUCGUUGUUCUGAUAAACAUGUUGCUGGUCCUCCUGAUGAAUUGCUAUGUGUAGCGGAGAAUAUGCUUCCUAAGCUUAUUCUCCGACUGGUUCAACAUCUUCGGGAGAAAAGUGUCAACUUAACGGAGAACCCGAACUCUCGGCAAAAUAUAUCGCUUGAGGACGCUGACGGGUUUCUUACUCUUCUUCAUGAUUUCUGUGAGAUGGGUUCAGCAAUGAGACACGUGAUUAUCGGCUGUCUUGUUAAUAGCAAAAUUUACACGAGUUUAACUCAAAACAUAUUAAAAGACGACUCCGAGUACGCAAACUAUAUGCGUAAAUCCUCGGAUAAAUAUAACGCGGCAGUUUCUGGAUUGCCUAGUCCUGAUCCAUCCAAGAAGUUCUGUGAGUGUCCUGCGCUUAACUCCAGUCUUGUUCAUACAACCUUCCUGGAGGAGUUACUCUUCUGGACCGUCAGAUACGAGUUUCCCCAGAAACUCGUAUGCUUGCUCCUAAACAUGCUUCCUGACCAGAAAUAUAAGGAGUUGUUUACCAGGGCCUUCGUCUUGCAUUACUCCAGGAUGUCCACCAUGUUGGACAAAUCCGGGAUAUCUGAGACCUUGUCCAACAGAGUUAUCCACGUCUCAGUCCAGCUGUUCAGCAACGAGGCUCUCACUCUACAGAUGACAGAGGAUCUUCAUCUUGUUCACAUCAUCGUGUUCUCCAUCAAGAACAUGAUGUCCACCGUGUUAACCCUGAACACCCUCGGGGACGUUCAGCAAAACUAUCACGAGAUUGUUGACUGUGGGGAGCAUGUUAUGAAGGAUCACUGCUACUGGCCGUUAGUAUCUGACCUCAACAAUGUUCUCUCUCACCCCUCCAUCGCCUACAAGUUUAUGGAGGAUGAGAAACAGCUCGCGAUGUGGUUUGAUUUCCUGCCCAUGUUCCAGGGGAUGAAUGUAAACAAUCGUGAGAUGAAAGCCCAUAUUGAGUUUGAACCGAAUACUUACUACGCGGCAUUUUCUGCUGAGUUAGAAGCUGCCUCCUCCCCCAUGUGGUCCCUUGUCUCCCACCUAAAGGACGCGUCCAGCAGGCAUCUUACAACCAACGUGAUUAAACACUGUCUUGGUGCAAUCAAAAACUGGUUUGAUGCAAUCUACUUCCUUCGUCCUGAUCAGUUAGACCGUCUCAAGAUGUCAUUUCAUCUUCCUCUCCAUCGAUACUUUGCAGUUUUUCUUAGACAGGCUGUUAAGUAUCAAGGAUUCUCUCUUGAUGAUCUGCUCCCUGACAAGGAAACCCUUCAUCUAAUGAUGAUGCAUCCCCUGGGAGUACAGGUUGCGUUCUACGAGAUCAUGAACCAUUUGUGGGUUAGAAACGGACUACAGAUUCGAGGACAAGCUAUGACGUACAUACAAUGUCACUUUUCCAACUCCAUGGCAGACCCAGAUAUAUUCCUUCUCCAGAUCUGUUCUACCCGCCUUGAUCCCUCUGUGUUCCUGAAAACUAUCCUGGAACGGUUUCAUGUUCGGCCCUGGCUCUCAUUGGCUGCGGAGAAGGAACCCGAACCUCUCAAUCUUGCAGAACAGGAGCAGGAGGGUCCUAUGAUGGAGUCAGCUCUGAUAUUCCUAGUUUCUCUUCUCACACUCAGAACCAACCUAGGACUCUCAGAGCAGGAUUUGACAAGGUUAGAAUUGGCGACUUUACUAUUUAUGGACGAUAGGACACAUUCGUCUUUAUCAGAACAAAUGCCGGAGAAAAACGGGAACGGAGUUCCGGACGAUUUCGAGUCGUUUCUCUCCGAAGUCGGAAGCUUUCGAGAACCACAGUUUGAACCUGGCGGUGUGAUGCAGCAGGGUUUAUAUGUACCUAAACCUGAGAUCUGGGAGACUAUGUAUGAUCCUAUAUAUGUUCUACUCAGAGCAGUACACAGGAGAGAGUUCCAGAACUCUCUGGACAGAUUCAUAGCUUACUCACAGAAGAACGGAAAGGUUAAUUCCGACUCCGGAGAGAAGAAUGGAACCCUGUGGCCUCCCUGGAGACUACCAACUGCCUGUGAUCCUAGCUUUACCGAUCCACGGACUAUUUUACACUCAAGGUUUGCUCAUGGACUAAUCUUCAACCUGCUGUACAAGGGAGUUUAUGGAGUUGGUUCUUCUGGUGAGAAGAAGGAGUGUAGUGAACAGAUACUAUCUUUAACCGUGUUCCUAUUGGAGCUCGCCCUUUCCUUCCCUCAGACUGAUUAUUCGGGCAAGGAAUUGGCAGUUUCUACCCCCUGGUUGAUAGUUCACGAACCUCUAGAUCUAGAUUAUGAGUCCUGGUUUCCAACUAACUGGUUGUCUGCCAACCUACGACAUACUGUGACCGCCCUGUUCACCAACCAUGUCUCCGACCCCAACACCAGUAUGGAGGUGGAUCAGGUGUCGGAUACAGGUUCAAACUCGGACAGUGAAACCACACCGUACUUUGUUGAAACUCCAACUAGCGACGUUCAUGACAGUUCAUCUCCACCCAGGUUACAAAGUAGUCAACACUCAGCUAUAACAAUGUCUCCUAGUAGUAGUAAUGCUCUUCUACCCUUCCCGUCAGGAACCAUGGAACACAUAACUAGUGUCGUCUUACAGUCAUCAAGAGCUAAAAACGAUGGAACUGUCGAUCUUUCAAGAGCUCUCCUUGAGCUCCCUAUGGAUGAGGAUGAAGAGGUUGGUGCACUAGGACUCAUACCCAGACCAGAUCCGGCCUUUCACAGCCAACAACAACUAUCAAGCAAUGCUCAUAGAUCGGUGGUCAAUAUUAAUGAAAGCAUCAUUAGUUUACUUGUUAAACUUCAUUCUAAAUUGUCUGGGAAACCGGACUCCUACACACCUAAACCAGAGCGUGGUAAAGUUCCCAGCCUUGCUCAUACGCUUACUCCGGAGUACGCAGAAUCUAGAAUCGGUGACGCAUGUUUUUUUGUUGAGAAAGUGUUAGAUAAAAUUUGUGAUCUAGAUUCAGCAUGUGAACAUUUUGUGAAACAUAUACGGGCUCAACUCUGGCCGGUUCAGCACGCCAAAGAUUCAAUGGAAGAUCUGGAACAAGAAAGAGACGAGAUUGAGGCUAGGAAGCGACGAGCCAAGGAGCGUCAAGCCAAGAUGAUGGAGGAUUUUGCUGAACGUCAGAAACGGUUUAUGCGGAAGAAUGAAGAGACCGAGGACAUCACUGAUAAAGAUUCUGAUCAUGAAACCUCGACAGUUUGCAAUGAAUACGAUUGUGUGCAUUGUCACCAGACUCAGGCUAGUACUCUAGAUAAACCUAUUGGCCUCGUUGUUCUCAUGCAAGCUACGUCAGUUUUAGGACACAAGCACAAUAAUAACGAGCAUCUCAGCCUACCCGUUCGGGAGGAAGAUCGUUCGAAGCUAGCGGUAGAUGAUAGUUUAUCAACUGAAUAUGAAUCCAGACUUGAAGAGUUGAUGAGACAUUUUGACCCUACGUCUUACCUUCUCUCCGUGAACUCUGGUUGGCAGGGCGGAGUAUCCGUCCAGUCCUGUGGACAUCAUGUACACCUUGACUGUCAGCAAAGCUACAUGGAAAGCUUGAAGAAUACUGCAAACUCCCAGGCAUCAUUAGUUCUAAUGGUGGAGAAGGGUGAGUAUAUGUGUCCCAUGUGCAGGCAGCUAGCCAACGGAGUUCUUCCUAUCCCACCAGACAAGGAGUUUCUAAAAGCUAAAUCACAAUGUCCUGUCUCGAUAGGUCGUGAGCUCACGGAUAUUUUAAAGAUGCCAACUAAACCUAUGAUAAAUCAAUCUAAUAUGUACAGUAUGAUGAAUCAGAUCAUGGAGAGUCUGACUAAAGCAACUUAUCCUCAGUAUCAUCAUCUGGAUUCUGUUCAUGCUAUUGUUAUGUUUGUCUCUAGUAUUGCAAGAACCAACCUGGAGCUGGAUCUAGUUUCCAGAGGAGGAACACUGCUCACAGCAAAAACCAUUCUAAACUCUCCACUCCCCUCCUCCUUCAGACCUAGGACGUGUUUCUUGCCUCUCCUUCAAGUUUUAGCAAUUCAUAUGAAAAUCAGGUUUCCUAAAUCAAUGGUCACGGAUUGGUGCCAAAUCACAGGACUCUGGCAGAAUGAGGAGGAGCGUAGUCUCAUGGUGCGCAAGAAUGAGGUUCCAAUCUUGUUAAAGGAUCCUUCAACCCUACUUCUUCAUUUCACACUGAUCCUCCCUCUUCAGAUGGAUAAAAUGUUCUUCGUCUCUAUUGUCCGUCAACUCUACAAUCUGUGUUGGAUGCAGGCUUGUCUCAAGGUUGCCUGUAGGCUUCCUCCAGAACUUAGAGCACAACUCCGGGAUGAAUGGAACAGGAAAGUGAGUCAAAAUGAGACACCGUCCUAUGUGAAGGUUGACACGGUUCUCCUGGGUAUAGGUUUAGUUUGCUCUGUUUUAGAAUUGUCUCGAAUAUUUGAUGACAAUGUCGAUGAUCCCCGACACAGUACAGCUACAAGGUUGAGUGCAGAUGUAUCACUCCAGGGUUAUGUACAAGCAGAGUGUCUGAACUACAUGAGAAUUGCGUCUCUACUUCGUCAUUAUCUAUACAACGACACGAUCCCGGAUAUCUGGGAGGAGGACUGGGAGUUUACACGGUUAGCACAGCACCUAGGAAUGGCAGAUAUAGAUAUCAGUGGACGUGUAUCCUCGGGGCCAUGUCUGGGUUGGUUAACUGCUCCAGCUAACCUGUGCUACACCUGGUGUAGAGAGAUUGGAGAGUUUGCCCAACUCUCGUAUCUUUCUGCUCGGAGACUCAUCCUUGUUAACAGCUCUUGGAAGCAACCACAACUACUAAGGCUUCCUAAAAACUACGAUUCAAUUUUCCAGUUCUACUAUAAGCGCGUGUGUCCGAACUGUAUGAAGGUUCCUAAGGAUCCUUCUAUCUGUCUACUCUGCGGAGCUAUGGUCUGUCUCAAGGAAAGCUGUUGUAAAUUCUUAGCUUCAGGUAAUUUUGAAGCCGUGAGACAUAGUGUUGAAUGUGGGGCGGGGACAGCACCCUACCUGGCGGUCAAUUCAGCAACUAUUGUUGUUAUCCGUGGGAAGCGAGCUUGUAUUUGGGGAUCUAUAUAUCUAGAUUCAUACGGAGAGGAGGACAGAGAACUCAAGAGAGGAAAGCCUCUAUUCCUUAGCGUGGAACGAUAUCAUUUCCUAGAAUCCCAAUGGUUAACUCAUAGGUUCGAUCAUACCAACCGGAAGUGGAUCUGGCACAGAGAGAAUCUGUAAAUAGGAAUCAGGAUUAAGUGAUGUCAACAUUUAGUGAUAAAAAUAGAUUUCCCUUCUUGGGAGAUCAAUCUGUAAAGGUUAGGGAAUAGUUUCUCGUUGGAGAAGAUUUAAAAUAUUUUUAGUCUUUUAACAUUUUCCUCAAUACUUUGGUAACUCACAGUUCCAUAUGAGUGAUGAAAUAAUUAGGACAUUUUUUAAAUACGUACAUUGUACUUGUAAACAGUACAUCGAACUACUGAACUAAUGACCCAGGCAGAUAUAACCACUUUUCUUGUUUCACUUAGUUACUUUUAAACACAUUGUCAGAAUAUUAAUUCUUGAAGAAUUUACAAUAGUUACGGGGGAGGGGGGCACUUGUUAUUCAUUCAUUUAUUCAUUCGUACAGAUACAGAUAAAUACGAGUCUGUGCAGUUUUACUUGAAUAAAAUAAAGUUUAUGUUUCGUUAUCAAUCAAAAUUUACAUAUUUUGUUCUUGAUAUUUUAUGCUUAACUUUGUUAUGUUGCUUUUAAAUAUGUUUUUUCUUCACAAUGUAAUAAUGAAUCUUUCUUUGUAUGUAAAAUCACUUAAGUUUCAUGUAAUAUUUAUAGGAGUCACUUUUCAUGCUUUAUCAUCUAUUCUUAUAAUUUGGUUUUGAAUUUAUAAAAAUUUUGGUUUAUUUUGCUUAUUUCGCUUUUUUUAAAUUCUGAUGAAUGAAAUCUCUAGUGAACAAGGAGAGCAGGGAGAUGAGUCUUGAAACCCAGUUUCUAAGAUAUCCGUCGAUACAACAUUACUCUGGAUUCUUUUAUGUCAUUUUAUAUUUAACAAGAAAUCACACUGCUUUAAACCAAAAACCUCACAAAUUUUUUGUAUAAAUAUCACCGUACAGAAAAUAAACUUAACUAUAGUGACAUUUUUUAUACACGACAGGUUUCCAGAACCGCUCCCUGUACUGCUGAUUUAUCAUAACAAAUUUGUGUAGAUUGACUGAUUUUAUUUCCCUUAUGUGUUACCCUGUUAUAUUGAUCGCCCAGGGCAUUCUAUGCUAUGCAUUAAUUAUUUAAAUAAAGUAGAUAAUCUAUAUAAUA
RNAcentral lists this unclassified non-coding RNA (6916 nucleotides) under Eurytemora carolleeae. RNAcentral describes it as "e3 ubiquitin-protein ligase Ubr3". Lineage: Eukaryota; Metazoa; Arthropoda; Copepoda; Calanoida; Temoridae. The record is from RNAcentral.